CCUACGGGCGGCAGCAGUGGGGGAUUUUGCACAAUGGGGGCAACCCUGAUGCAGCGACGCCGCGUGUGGGAAGACGGUCCUCUGGAUUGUAAACCACUUUCCCCAGGGACGAAGAUGACGGUACCUGGGGAGGACGCUGCGGCUAACUACGUGCCAGCAGCCGCGGUAAUACGUAGGGCGCAAGCGUUGUCCGGAAUUACUGUGUGUAAAGGGAGCGUAGUCGGGAUGGCGAGUUGGGUGUUAAAUCUACCGGCUCAACUGGUAGUCGCACUCAAAACUGCGCUUCUUGAGUGAAGUAGAGGAAGGCGGAAGUCCUAGUGUAGCGGUGAAAUGCGUAGAUAUUAGGAGGAACACCAGUGGCGAAGGCGGCCUGCUGGGCUUUUACUGACGCUGAGGCUCGAAAGUGUGGGGAGCAAACAGGAUUAGAUACCCCUGUAGUC
This 440-nucleotide ribosomal RNA is filed under the name uncultured bacterium. Its description in RNAcentral is "partial 16S ribosomal RNA". It matches the Rfam family "Bacterial small subunit ribosomal RNA", at positions 338 to 795 of the family's 1533-position model. The record is from RNAcentral.